Lolium perenne is the source of this 731-nucleotide long non-coding RNA. RefSeq lists it as uncharacterized. Lineage: Eukaryota; Viridiplantae; Streptophyta; Magnoliopsida; Poales; Poaceae. The record is from RefSeq and is a predicted model, not a curated record.
GCCCACUCCCGAUUCUAAUUUCUUCUCUAUUUUUUUCACACCCUCACUAUGUCUUCCAAUCUGGCAGGUUGACCUCCGGCUGGCAAAUCUGCUGCACGUUUUGCCCCUACAGACGAUUUUAUUGGAUCGAUUCUGCAUGCUGCACCUACUUUCAUUGGUACAGGACACCUACUUUCAAUUGGUACGCAAAUCUAAUCUCAUGCUCUUAAGUUUGAAUUUACAUUGUGUGAGCAAUGCACCUUUUAUUUCUUACCGCCCGUGAGCUAAUUAUUUAGUACAUUGUAAUUUGAUCUCCUACAAUCUUCUGUCAAUGCAUGUGUUCAAACAUAUUGUCAACAGACAACAAAAACAGCGCCUCUUCUUUUCACUUCGCCAAUGUGUGUUUGCAAAGAUGGACGCCCCCGAAAAUUCUCAAAAUCCUCCAAGCAAUCCUGAUAGUCAUUCCAUCUCACACACUCGUGGACGACCAUGCCGUUAGUCACGACCUGUUGACACCAGGGCCUGGUUGUCACCCGUCAAUUAAGCCAUUCAGUUUUUCUUUUGAUAGGAACGGAAGCUUUGGUUUCAGUGUUUGAACCAAAUUUUGGAUGGUGUAAGCAAUCUCGGUUUGUUGACAACUGAUUCGGUCACUUGAGGUCUUCAUGUAAUGUCGUCAUUCAAAUUAGUCUCCUGCAGAUUUUAUACAAAUAUGUAAACCCCUUCAGAUUGUAUAUACAGAUUUUGAAUCUCCA